GAGAAGUUAUAGGUACUCAACGUCAGGGUAUCAGCCGAAGCUCUUCACACGCCAGCAAUGGAGCAGCGCGCGCCAGAGUGUCCCGGAUAAGCAUCGUUCUUGUAUAAGAGGUGCCAGGACUGACCUCGGCCGCCCUCACAUCAUGCAGGAGCGUAAAGGAUGAUGGGCCCAUGACCCCUGCGCACUUAGGAUUUAGACCGGCGGGCUGGCCUCUCUGUUGAGCUUAGGUAGGGCUGCGACGUGUUGAUGUUUCGAGGCUGGGCAUGACCCAUGAAAGUGUGUCCGGCGGGAGUUUAUUUAGUGUGUUGGGUACUAUGG
Molecule: long non-coding RNA, 318 nt
Filed under: Hordeum vulgare
Lineage: Eukaryota; Viridiplantae; Streptophyta; Magnoliopsida; Poales; Poaceae
Description: long non-coding RNA (HVUL_LNC012360)
Source: RNAcentral